AGAAUCUUUCUCAAUGGGCGAAAGCCUGAAGGAGCGACGCCGCGUGGAGGAUGAAGGCCCUCGGGUUGUAAACUCCUGUCAUCAGGAAACAAUUGCAGGCGCCUAACUAACGCCUGCUUGAUAGUCCCUGAAGAGGGAGAGACGGCUAACUCUGUGCCAGCAGCCGCGGUAAUACAGAGGUCUCAAGCGUUGUUCGGAUUCAUUGGGCGUAAAGGGUGCGCAGGCGGUCAAAUCAGUCAGGUGUGAAAUUCUGGAGCUCAACUUCAGAACUGCACUUGAUACUAUUCGACUAGAGUCCUACAGAGGAGACUGGAAUUUACGGUGUAGCAGUGAAAUGCGUAGAUAUCGUAAGGAAGGCCGGUGGCGAAAGCGAGUCUCUGGAUAGCGACUGACGCUCAGGCACGAAGGCCAGGGGAGCAAAC
This 422-nucleotide ribosomal RNA is filed under the name uncultured bacterium. Its description in RNAcentral is "bacterial SSU rRNA". It matches the Rfam family "Bacterial small subunit ribosomal RNA", at positions 358 to 773 of the family's 1533-position model. The record is from RNAcentral.